RNAcentral lists this ribosomal RNA (253 nucleotides) under uncultured bacterium. Its description in RNAcentral is "partial 16S ribosomal RNA". It matches the Rfam family "Bacterial small subunit ribosomal RNA", at positions 524 to 776 of the family's 1533-position model. The record is from RNAcentral.
UACGUAGGCAGCAAGCGUUGUUCGGAGUUACUGGGCGUAAAGGGUGUGUAGGCGGUUGUUUAAGUUUGGUGUGAAAUCUCCCGGCUCAACCGGGAGGGUGCGCCGAAUACUGAAUGACUAGAGUGCGGGAGAGGUAAGUGGAAUUCCUGGUGUAGCGGUGAAAUGCGUAGAUAUCGGGAGGAACACCAGUGGCGAAGGCGAUCAUCUGGGGUUGUUCUGACACUGAGGAGCGAAAGCUAGGGGAGCAAACGGG